This 253-nucleotide ribosomal RNA is filed under the name uncultured bacterium. RNAcentral describes it as "partial 16S ribosomal RNA". It matches the Rfam family "Bacterial small subunit ribosomal RNA", at positions 524 to 776 of the family's 1533-position model. The record is from RNAcentral.
UACAGAGGGUGCAAACGUUGCUCGGAAUCACUGGGCGUAAAGGGCGUGUAGGCGGCCUGGUAAGUCUGGCGUGAAAUCCCUGGGCUCAACCCAGGAACUGCACUCGAAACUACUUGUCUUGAGUGUCGGAGAGGAAAGCGGAAUUCCUGGUGUAGAGGUGAAAUUCGUAGAUAUCAGGAGGAACACCAGUGGCGAAGGCGGCUUUCUGGACGAUAACUGACGCUGAGACGCGAAAGCGUGGGGAGCAAACAGG